UACAGAGGGGGCAAGCGUUGUUCGGAAUUACUGGGCGUAAAGGGCGCGUAGGCGGCCUGUUAAGUCGAACGUGAAAUCCCCGGGCUCAACCCGGGAACUGCGUCCGAUACUGGCAGGCUUGAAUCCGGGAGAGGGAUGCGGAAUUCCAGGUGUAGCGGUGAAAUGCGUAGAUAUCUGGAGGAACACCGGUGGCGAAGGCGGCGACCUGGGUAGAUACUGACGCUGAGGCGCGAAAGCGUGGGGAGCAAACAGG
RNAcentral lists this ribosomal RNA (253 nucleotides) under uncultured bacterium. Its description in RNAcentral is "partial 16S ribosomal RNA". It matches the Rfam family "Bacterial small subunit ribosomal RNA", at positions 524 to 776 of the family's 1533-position model. The record is from RNAcentral.